GUAAUGUAGCUCAGUGGUAGAGUACUUGCCUAGCAUGCACAAUGCCCUGGGUUCAGUCCCUAGCAACA
This 68-nucleotide transfer RNA is filed under the name Marmota monax (woodchuck). Its description in RNAcentral is "tRNA.Ala". Lineage: Eukaryota; Metazoa; Chordata; Mammalia; Rodentia; Sciuridae. The record is from RNAcentral.